CCAGACGCCUACGGGAGGAAGCAGUGGGGAAUAUUGGACGAUGGGGGGAACCCGGAUCCAGCGACGCCGCGUGAGUGAAGAAGUAUUUCGGUAUGUAAAGCUCUAUCAGCAGGGAAGAAAGAAAUGACGGUACCUGACUAAGAAGCCCCGGCUAACUACGUGCCAGCAGCCGCGGUAAUACGUAGGGGGCAAGCGUUAUCCGGAUUUACUGGGUGUAAAGGGAGCGCAGGCGGCGCGUUAAGCCUGGUGUGAAAGCCCGCGGCCCAACCGCGGGACUGCAUUGGGAACUGGCGCGCUGGAGUGCCGGAGGGGUAGGCGGAAUUCCUAGUGUAGCGGUGAAAUGCGUAGAUAUUAGGAGGAACACCAGUGGCGAAGGCGGCCUACUGGACGGUGACUGACGCUGAGGCUCGAAAGCGUGGGGAGCAAACAGGAUUAGAUACCCGGGUA
This 447-nucleotide ribosomal RNA is filed under the name uncultured bacterium. Its description in RNAcentral is "bacterial SSU rRNA". It matches the Rfam family "Bacterial small subunit ribosomal RNA", at positions 331 to 792 of the family's 1533-position model. The record is from RNAcentral.